GUAGAUAUUAGAAAGAAUACCAAUUGCGAAGGCAGCUUUCUGGAUCAUUACUGACACUGAGGAACGAAAGCAUGGGUAGCGAAGAGGAUUAGAUACCCUCGUAGUCCAUGCCGUAAACGAUGUGUGUUAGACGUUGGAAAUUUAUUUUCAGUGUCGCAGGGAAACCGAUAAACACACCGCCUGGGGAGUACGACCGCAAGGUUAAAACUCAAAUGAAUUGACGGGGACCCGCACAAGUAGUGGAGCAUGUGGUUUAAUUCGAAGAUACGCGCAGAACCUUACCAACACUUGACAUGUUCGUCGCGACUCUAAGAGAUUAGAGUUUUCGGUUCGGCCGGACGAAACACAGGUGCUGCAUGGCUGUCGUCAGCUCGUGUCGUGAGAUGUUGGGUUAAGUCCCGCAACGAGCGCAACCCUCACUUUUAGUUGCCAUCAUUAAGUUGGGCACUCUGAAAGAACUGCCAGUGAUAAGCUGGAGGAAGGUGGGGAUGACGUCAAGUCCUCAUGGCCCUUACGUGUUGGGCUACACACGUGCUACAAUGGUAUCUACAACAGGAAGCAAGACUGCGAAGUUAAGCAAAUCCCUAAAAGAUACCUCAGUUCGGAUUGCACUCUGCAACUCGAGUGCAUGAAGCUGGAAUUACUAGUAAUCGUGGAUCAGCGUGCCACGGUGAAUGCGUUCCCGGGUCUUGUACACACCGCCCGUCACACCAUGGGAGUUGGUUCUACCUUAAGGCAAGGUUUCAAACCCUUGACCACGGUAUAGUCAGCGACUGGGGUGAAGUCGUAACAAGGUAA
Molecule: ribosomal RNA, 798 nt
Filed under: uncultured Alphaproteobacteria bacterium
Lineage: Bacteria; Pseudomonadati; Pseudomonadota; Alphaproteobacteria
Description: bacterial SSU rRNA
Rfam family: Bacterial small subunit ribosomal RNA
Source: RNAcentral